This 72-nucleotide transfer RNA is filed under the name Toxoplasma gondii. Its description in RNAcentral is "tRNA-Arg". It matches the Rfam family "tRNA". From Rfam's summary of the family: Transfer RNA (tRNA) molecules are approximately 80 nucleotides in length. The record is from RNAcentral. Lineage: Eukaryota; Apicomplexa; Conoidasida; Eucoccidiorida; Sarcocystidae.
GAGUCAAUAGCUCAGUUGGAAGAGUAUGUGGCUACGGACUACAAUGACGGGGUUCAAAUCCCUCUUGACUCU